UCUGUCCAAGUCCGGCUCUGCUUUCCUGGAAAAAGAGUGAUUUUACCAGUUGACAAGUUGACAAGUUGACAAGUUGACCAAUUAAAAUCAAUUGUGGCGAGCCAAGAAACUUCGCCCAAUACUUCCAAAACUUCAAGACCCAUAAGUGACAAUUGAGUCUUCGAUGGCUUCAACUCCAACACAACCACAAAACCCAUAGGUCUCCACAUCUCUAUUCUAUAUAAAUGCAUACAAAUGAGGUACACUCAUCAGUAAAUUAAAAGAGAGAAUCAAGAUGGCAUUUUCUAAAGUAUCUUUCAUGCUUGUCUUUCUCCUUCUCGUUCUUGUGUUUCCCCAUAUGGAUAAAGCCCUUGGUGAACAAAUGCAGCACCGCAAACUUAAAGAGACGGAACAUCCAGAUCAACUGGUGACAGUCCAAAGGCGCGUUCUUCGUUUUGGUUUUUUAAGGGGACGAUGGUGCAUAAAAAAUUGUAAAAAAGGCUCAGAUUUUCUAGGUAGUUUACCUAAGCCCCCUUCACCGCCUCCUAGGUUUCCCAAAGGUCGUUUACCUCCUCCUCCAAGGUUUUCCAAAGGCAAAAACGUAUGAUCCCUCAAUAUUUGGAUCAAAAUAUUGUUUCACAAUUUGUCACCAUAAAUGUAAUUCUGAAAUUUUCUUGCAAAAUAAAAGAGCAUCUACAACUUGUGAUGAUGGUAUGAUAUGUUGUUACAAGUUUUAAGCUAAUUUAUAAAUGUUUUUGUUUAAUAGUUGGAAAUAAAGUUUAUCUAAACCUUA
Long non-coding RNA from Brassica napus (rape), 772 nucleotides. RefSeq lists it as uncharacterized. NCBI's taxonomy places the organism in Eukaryota, Viridiplantae, Streptophyta, Magnoliopsida, Brassicales, Brassicaceae. The record is from RefSeq and is a predicted model, not a curated record. The transcript is spliced from 2 exons.